GCUUAACACAUGCAAGUCGAGCGGUAAGGCCCUUCGGGGUACACGAGCGGCGAACGGGUGAGUAACACGUGGGUGAUCUGCCUCGUACUCUGGGAUAAGCCUGGGAAACUGGGUCUAAUACCGGAUAUGACCACGCUUCGCAUGGGGUGUGGUGGAAAGAUUUAUCGGUGCGAGAUGGGCCCGCGGCCUAUCAGCUUGUUGGUGGGGUAACGGCCUACCAAGGCGACGACGGGUAGCCGACCUGAGAGGGUGAUCGGCCACACUGGGACUGAGACACGGCCCAGACUCCUACGGGAGGCAGCAGUGGGGAAUAUUGCACAAUGGGCGGAAGCCUGAUGCAGCGACGCCGCGUGCGGGAUGACGGCCUUCGGGUUGUAAACCGCUUUCGACAGGGACGAAGCGCAAGUGACGGUACCUGUAGAAGAAGCACCGGCCAACUACGUGCCAGCAGCCGCGGUAAUACGUAGGGUGCGAGCGUUGUCCGGAAUUACUGGGCGUAAAGAGCUUGUAGGCGGUCUGUCGCGUCUUCUGUGAAAAUUCACAGCUCAACUGUGAACCUGCAGGGGAUACGGGCAGACUAGAGUACUUCAGGGGAGACUGGAAUUC
RNAcentral lists this ribosomal RNA (606 nucleotides) under Nocardia mexicana. Its description in RNAcentral is "bacterial SSU rRNA". It matches the Rfam family "Bacterial small subunit ribosomal RNA", at positions 46 to 669 of the family's 1533-position model. Lineage: Bacteria; Bacillati; Actinomycetota; Actinomycetes; Mycobacteriales; Nocardiaceae. The record is from RNAcentral.